GGGGCUGUAGCUCAGUGGCAGAGCACUUGCCCAGUAUGCAUGAGGCACUGGGUUCAAUCCUCAGCACCA
This 69-nucleotide transfer RNA is filed under the name Ictidomys tridecemlineatus (thirteen-lined ground squirrel). RNAcentral's name for it is "Spermophilus tridecemlineatus (thirteen-lined ground squirrel) tRNA". It matches the Rfam family "tRNA". From Rfam's summary of the family: Transfer RNA (tRNA) molecules are approximately 80 nucleotides in length. Their secondary structure includes four short double-helical elements and three loops (D, anti-codon, and T loops). Further hydrogen bonds mediate the characteristic L-shaped molecular structure. tRNAs have two regions of fundamental functional importance: the anti-codon, which is responsible for specific mRNA codon recognition, and the 3' end, to which the tRNAs corresponding amino acid is attached (by aminoacyl-tRNA synthetases). tRNAs cope with the degeneracy of the genetic code in two manners: having more than one tRNA (with a specific anti-codon) for a particular amino acid; and 'wobble' base-pairing, i.e. permitting non-standard base-pairing at the 3rd anti-codon position. Lineage: Eukaryota; Metazoa; Chordata; Mammalia; Rodentia; Sciuridae. The record is from Rfam by way of RNAcentral.